ACGAACGCUGGCGGCGUGCCUAAUACAUGCCAGUUGAGCGCUGAAGGUUGGUACUUGUACCCACUGGAUGAGCAGCGAACGGGUGAGUAACGCGUGGGGAAUCUGCCUUUGAGCGGGGGACAACAUUUGGAAACGAAUGCUAAUACCGCAUAAAAACUUUAAACACAAGUUUUAAGUUUGAAAGAUGCAAUUGCAUCACUCAAAGAUGAUCCCGCGUUGUAUUAGCUAGUUGGUGAGGUAAAGGCUCACCAAGGCGAUGAUACAUAGCCGACCUGAGAGGGUGAUCGGCCACAUUGGGACUGAGACACGGCCCAAACUCCUACGGGAGGCAGCAGCAGGGAAUCUUCGGCAAUGGACGAAAGUCUGACCGAGCAACGCCGCGUGAGUGAAGAAGGUUUUCGGAUCGUAAAACUCUGUUGGUAGAGAAGAACGUUGGUGAGAGUGGAAAGCUCAUCAAGUGACGGUAACUACCCAGAAAGGGACGGCUAACUACGUG
This 496-nucleotide ribosomal RNA is filed under the name uncultured bacterium. RNAcentral's name for it is "partial 16S ribosomal RNA". It matches the Rfam family "Bacterial small subunit ribosomal RNA", at positions 29 to 507 of the family's 1533-position model. The record is from RNAcentral.